AGCGUUAUUGUGCUCGGCGGCAGCGGUUCUCAGAGAUUGUGGAGAAGCGGCCGGCGUGGUGCCGCUCUAGGAAAGCUAUUGAAAAUACAAAAAUGAAGCGUCUGGCUGAAGGACUGAUUACACUGAGUUCAGCUCUUGUGAAUCUUAUCUGCAGAUUUGUACAGACUGCAUCCUAAGAUUGACUUCUGCCUCAACAGAAAUGCAUGAACAGUGUCUUAAUGGAAAUGAUUUGCGUCUUUUAAGAACUGGUGUAUCUAGGUACAUCUUGAAUUUUCAGCUGUUUAUCUUAUUGACGCUUGUACCUCACCUCAACCUUCAAUUCUACUGUAUUUCCUUGCUACUUAAUAUCUUGAAUUCUGGUAUGAAAAUAUUGCA
Long non-coding RNA from Physeter macrocephalus (sperm whale), 375 nucleotides. RefSeq lists it as uncharacterized. NCBI's taxonomy places the organism in Eukaryota, Metazoa, Chordata, Mammalia, Artiodactyla, Physeteridae. The transcript has 3 exons. The record is from RefSeq and is a predicted model, not a curated record.